Molecule: ribosomal RNA, 859 nt
Filed under: uncultured bacterium
Lineage: Bacteria
Description: bacterial SSU rRNA
Rfam family: Bacterial small subunit ribosomal RNA
Source: RNAcentral
UACGUAGGGUGCGAGCGUUAAUCGGAAUUACUGGGCGUAAAGCGUGCGCAGGCGGUUUGGUAAGACAGAUGUGAAAUCCCCGGGCUUAACCUGGGAACUGCAUUUGUGACUGCCAGACUAGAGUGUAGCAGAGGGGGGUAGAAUUCCACGUGUAGCAAUGAAAUGCGUAGAGAUGUGGAGGAAUACCGAUGGCGAAGGCAGCCCCCUGGGCUAACACUGACGCUCAUGCACGAAAGCGUGGGGAGCAAACAGGAUUAGAUACCCUGGUAGUCCACGCCCUAAACGAUGUCAACUAGGUGUUGGGGAAGGAGACUUCUUUAGUACCGCAGCUAACGCGUGAAGUUGACCGCCUGGGGAGUACGGUCGCAAGAUUAAAACUCAAAGGAAUUGACGGGGACCCGCACAAGCGGUGGAUUAUGUGGAUUAAUUCGAUGCAACGCGAAAAACCUUACCUACCCUUGACAUGUCAGGAAGAUUCCAGAGAUGGGAUUGUGCCCGAAAGGGAACCUGAACACAGGUGCUGCAUGGCUGUCGUCGGCUCGUGUCGUGAGAUGUUGGGUUAAGUCCCACAACGAGCGCAACCCUUGUCAUUAAUUGCCAUCAUUUAGUUGGGCACUUUAAUGAGACUGCCGGUGAUUAACCGGAGGAAGGUGGGGAUGACGUCAAGUCCUCAUGGCCCUUAUGGGUAGGGCUUCACACGUAAUACAAUGGUCGGUACAGAGGGUUGCCAACCCGCGAGGGGGAGCUAAUCUCAGAAAGCCGAUCGUAGUCCGGAUCGGAGUCUGCAACUCGACUCCGUGAAGUCGGAAUCGCUAGUAAUCGCGGAUCAGCAUGUCGCGGUGAAUACGUUCCCGGGUCU